Molecule: ribosomal RNA, 627 nt
Filed under: bacterium 04-L049658-122-015-D01
Lineage: Bacteria
Description: bacterial SSU rRNA
Rfam family: Bacterial small subunit ribosomal RNA
Source: RNAcentral
GUCGAACGGUGAUGUCAGAGCUUGCUCUGGCGGAUCAGUGGCGAACGGGUGAGUAACACGUGAGUAACCUGCCCCUGACUCUGGGAUAACUGCUAGAAAUGGUAGCUAAUACCGGAUAUGACGAUUGGCCGCAUGGUCUGGUCGUGGAAAGAAUUUCGGUUGGGGAUGGACUCGCGGCCUAUCAGGUUGUUGGUGAGGUAAUGGCUCACCAAGCCUACGACGGGUAGCCGGCCUGAGAGGGUGACCGGCCACACUGGGACUGAGACACGGCCCAGACUCCUACGGGAGGCAGCAGUGGGGAAUAUUGCACAAUGGGCGAAAGCCUGAUGCAGCAACGCCGCGUGAGGGAUGACGGCCUUCGGGUUGUAAACCUCUUUUAGUAGGGAAGAAGCGAAAGUGACGGUACCUGCAGAAAAAGCACCGGCUAACUACGUGCCAGCAGCCGCGGUAAUACGUAGGGUGCAAGCGUUGUCCGGAAUUAUUGGGCGUAAAGAGCUCGUAGGCGGUUUGUCGCGUCUGCUGUGAAAUCCCGAGGCUCAACCUCGGGUCUGCAGUGGGUACGGGCAGACUAGAGUGCGGUAGGGGAGAUUGGAAUUCCUGGUGUAGCGGUGGAAUGCGCAGAUAUCA